RNAcentral lists this unclassified non-coding RNA (218 nucleotides) under soil metagenome. RNAcentral's name for it is "partial contains 5.8S ribosomal RNA, internal transcribed spacer 2, and large subunit ribosomal RNA". The record is from RNAcentral.
AACAAGGCGUACCUGCGGACCUGCGGAAGGAUCAUUAAAGAGAAAACUGCCCUUUGGGUAGAUCUCCCACCCUUUGUUUACCUUACCUUUGUUGCUUUGGCAGGCCCGUCUUCUGACCACCGGCUUUUAGCUGGUCCGUGCCUGCCAGAGGACCCCCAACUCUUGAUUUCAAGUUGUCCGAGUCUUAUACAAUAGUAAAAACUUUCAACAACGGAUCU